UGAGUUACACACAUGCAUCACAUACACAAGGGGGCCAUACUGAUCACAAGAUACAUACAUACAUCCUGCAAAACAGAGUUAGGCGUCCUAACAUUCCAAACUUCGGAGGCCCGAAACUCCAUCUUCCAAGCCGAAUUUGGGAAAUCUAAUCUCGCCGAAAACGGCAAAGCCGUUGAAAUUCAUGUGUAACUUUUUCUGUAGAUCAAUUUUCGUAUAAAAAUCGCCCCGAUCCGAGAUCGUACCGAAAAGUUACGGCUGAUUUACCGAAGCAUACGCAUACGGCAAAAUCCCGACCCCGGCAGUAGAUCCCAUCUACUAUUGCACAUCUAAUGCGCCUGGCGUAUGACCCUGGAUCUCGAUUUGACCAAUCAUAUUGAUCUUCCCUCACUGCAACUGGAUUUACGUGUAUCACUUAACUCCG
Molecule: long non-coding RNA, 421 nt
Filed under: Setaria viridis
Lineage: Eukaryota; Viridiplantae; Streptophyta; Magnoliopsida; Poales; Poaceae
Description: long non-coding RNA (SVIR_LNC006722)
Source: RNAcentral